RNAcentral lists this ribosomal RNA (255 nucleotides) under uncultured bacterium. Its description in RNAcentral is "partial 16S ribosomal RNA". It matches the Rfam family "Bacterial small subunit ribosomal RNA", at positions 524 to 776 of the family's 1533-position model. The record is from RNAcentral.
UACGUAGGGUGCGAGCGUUAAUCGGAAUUACUGGGCGUAAAGCGUGCGCAGGCGGCGCGUUAAGACAGGUGUGAAAGCCCCCGAGCUUAACUUGGGGAAUUGCGCUUGUGACUGGCGUGCUGGAGUGUGGCAGAGGGAGGUGGAAUUCCACGUGUAGCAGUGAAAUGCGUAGAGAUGUGGAGGAACACCGAUGGCGAAGGCAGCCUCCUGGGCCAGCACUGACGCUCAUGCACGAAAGCGUGGGGAGCAAACAGG